RNAcentral lists this long non-coding RNA (4664 nucleotides) under Daphnia pulex (common water flea). RNAcentral's name for it is "uncharacterized LOC124188654". Lineage: Eukaryota; Metazoa; Arthropoda; Branchiopoda; Diplostraca; Daphniidae. The record is from RNAcentral.
UAUCAGUUACAUGUUGACGCCCCUUUCGUACACAGUUCAUUGAUUUGGCCGGUAGAGGACCAAUGUCCCUUGCUACAAGUAGAUUUCGACGUAAUUUUCACGAGCAUUUUAAAUCAAAAACAACCACCUCCGUUUAGGCAGUUUGCCAAAAAAUAAAUAAGAAAGAACCCGCGACUGAAUGCUGUUGGCAUGGCAACAGCCACAACGUCUGUUUCCCUUUCGUGGCUUAUUCCAUCUCCGAAAUGAAGGUGUUUCGACGAUUGUGUGAUUACACACCCUUUUAAAAAAGGAAAAAACAAAAACGACUAAUCAUAUCACCCAGUGUGUCUGGAAUAUACUCGCGACAAAAUGGUGGUUCACCGUCCGUCCGUAAUGCUAUUCUCAAACAGCCAAUGAGGAGGCAGCCAUGACGUCACCGUCGGACCGGCGCAGUACAUAAAACUCCGCCCCUUUUAGAAAAACUUUUUUUGUGGGGGCCGGCGCCGGCCUUGAGGAGUCCCGUCGCCUCAGCUCCACAACGACGUCCCAAUGGCGUUGCGCAGUUCAGUUGCUGGCCAGUCGACCUUCUGUCGAAACACUGGGCGCAACUAGUAGUUGUGUCCUGGGAUCCCACACACACAGAAAGAAUUCCUUGGCUUUCAUACUUUUGGUUUAGAAUCUUUAAAAAAAAAAACUUGUAAUUUUAUCUCUCUCACGUAAGUGUGUCUGUACUACCUCUCCAGUGUUGCCAGCCUCGAAAAUAACCAACCGCUGCUGAUGUCGUCUCAUCAUCUCAUUCGGGUAAAGAAAAACAACAAGAAAAAGGCUAAUUUUUUUGAAACCUAUAAAGAAACAUUUUUGUGUGUAAAUUUUAUCAUCGUCCUUGGGGUUUACGACUUGUUUGUUCAGGAUUUUCAUUUUUUAUUAUCUGUGGAAUGCAAAGUUUUUUUCAAGUCUUGUUUUUUUUUUAUCUUGUUACGAGUGAAGUGACGUACAGUUGUGUGUCACAUUUUCGUUGAGACUAAAUUGUUGUUUCUUAUUUAUUUGGUUUUGUCUGAGUAGUGUAGUUAAUAAUAAUAUUGGGGAAUUUUUGGUUUCAAUGGCUUUCUCUCUGGCCUGCCAUGCGACGACAUGCCCACAGCUAGAACUUGGCUGCUGCGCCUUAUAUGGAAAGAGGCCAGUUGAGCACUGGAAUGUGGUUUUUUUCUUUUUCCUUCUCAUCCAUGUCUUUUCAUUCUCUUCUCUUUUCUCCUGGUAUUCUCCUUUUCGAUAUCAUAAUCGCUAGGAAAAGCAAAAGAAGAAGAAGAAGAAAAAAAUUAGAAAAUGGCCCUCGAGACUUGGGUCUCGGUCGACCACCAUGUUUUAUUUGGCGGCUGUUGCCAUGCGGAUUUUUAUUUUACAAGUCAGGCCUAAUUAAAAGAAAGUCUGGCACAUUCCAUUGCCCAUCUGCACGCUUCCAUCUCGUCCAAUCUAGCCACCACUUACUAACCAUCAGUUUAGUUACGUCGACUUUUUUUUUUUAUAUUUUUUAAAAGAAUCCCCCCCGAACGAAAUUGUUUCUCUUUUUCGACAUUUUUUUCCAGACAGGAAGUGACGUCACGUGUUAGCCUUGCGUCUGAAUGGGGGUGGAGUCUGUAAGUUGGCCCUGAGGGGGGGCGGCGGCGGCGGCGUGUAAAAUGAUACGGCUGAUAAAUCAUGUCGCACACACACACACACAGACGCGGGUAAUACAACACUGCGGAGGAAAAGAAAAAAAUUAAAAAAAACAUGGCCGAUUAUUAUUUUUACGACGGACGACUUGGUGGUGGUGUCGGACCGUCGGUGAAUUCCGAUUUGUUCACAUCUCGUGGUGACUGUUGGGUGCGUUGAAUUCGCCGCCAUAUACGUCGUCGUCCGUGCGGGAGAGCCAAGUGGGGAGGGGCGUAUAUUUCGAUUAGAUCCCCUCUGGCCAAGGUGAUUCAUUGGAAAUUCACAGCCUUGCCUCGAGGCUUUUUCUCUCUCUCUCUCUCCUUUGGAAUUUUUCGUCUUCUUCUUCUAUAAAUACGAGACUCGCCGUACAAUUCCCUUCUCGUCUGUAGAAUGUUGAGCAUCCCGUGAUCGACCAAAUGUGGCCGGUGGGUGGGUUUAAGGAGGGGAGGGAGGGGGAGCCCUUGUGCCAAAAUGUGUAAAUUUAAACUCGCGACGUCGCGACGUCUGGCCGCGGGCGAGGUAUUUUGGGACGCUCUGACUCAAAAAGUUUUUUAACACUUCCCGGUCUCUUCUUUUUUACUUGUGUUGUCUGGUCUGGGAAUUUAAUUAAAAGAAUGUGUUCACUUUAUUUUUUGAGGGUUUUUUUCUGUUUUUAUGUCUUUUUGGGAUGCUGGAGAUAAUGGCGCCCCUACCGGAUUUGGUUGUGGAGGGGAAAAAUAGUUUCGGCGUUGUGUGUGUUUGGUUGCAAAGACCAAACUUGGGUCGGCCAGAUGAACAGCUCUGAAUAGUUUGCCCUUAUUAGGGUCUUCUUCUUCUUUCUUUCUUUCUUUGGCUGCUGGCAGCAAUGGCGUCGUCGGCUGUGUGUUGGACGGCCACUGACCCGACGAGCGGAGAAGAAAACCGAACAGCGGAAUGUUGCUCCUCCUGUAUUUCCUUGCAUGGUCUGUCGACUUGUUUCGAUCUAUAUAAGUGUGUGUGUGUGAUCAUCAGACUAACCGAAUUAUGUUACAUCGUUGUUGUCGAUGAACUCUCCCCGGUGCUGGUGGUGGUGGUGUGGGACACGGGCUAGCGUGGGAAAAUGGGCGCAAAAGUGCGGUUCUUCGUUUUCUCUUGUGUGUGUGCAAGUCUGCGCGAGUCUCUCUCUCUCUCCAUGUGUGUGGGAUCGGCCAGACUUAAGCUUUCCCAUGUCUGCGCAACUCCCACCACUUUUCUUUCCUUCUAUUCUUUUCAUUCCACAUUUUCUCUCUCUCCCUUAUUUUUCUUUUCUCAGUUGUUGCACACACACGCAGGUAUCCAGACGGAGAGAGAGGGAAAAUCCGGUCGGGGGGGGGCUGAUGGUACGAGGAAUUCCUCACUAGUUGCAUUUUUUCUCCAUAGAUGGCGCUCGCAUCUGCGCAUGGGUGCGCCUGGAAAUAUCAAGUGGGUUCUUCUCUUUGGCCUAAACCGGAACGAGCGUCGCUCAAAACAGCAGUCGAGAGAGUCUUUUCGGGUCCUCCAAAUGGGGUCUUCUCUUUUUUCCAGUCGUCAAAGACUGAAUGAAAAUGGAAAAGAGUCUCAGAAUGGGGAGGGGAUUGGUGUAGAAAGGCGGCGCGAGGCGGCAGUUGGUCUGUGGAAUGCGGUCAGUGCUCCUCUCUCUCUCUCUCUCUGUGUGUGUGUGCGAGGGCUUUGCUCUCACACACAUUCGCCCGGGUCCCAUUCAGCCCCGUCGCCUCACCGCAUUCCUCUACACUCUUCUGACGAACGCGGUUGUGUGGCCUCAGUCCGUCUCCACCAUCACCACCAGUGUGCUGCUGCUGCUGCUGCAUAGUGAUAGCCUCGACUAACCAAUCUCUCUCUCAGCUGAUUGUGUGUCUUGGUUUUAGAGAUUCAAGUGCGUGACCUUAGCGCUUUUCUGACUUGGCAACGCGGAUUAGUCACAAAAAGUAUCUACAUAAUCAACGUAAGAAGAGAAGAAUGGGCGCUUUUCUUUUGAUUUCAAGAAUGUUCGACUGGAAAUAAUACAGUCAGAAAAAGAAAAAAAAAAAAAAAGAGAGAUCGGCGGGACCCGUCCGCGCUCACGGUUCUCUUUUCCCACGUUCUUGGGUGGCCGUCGCCGUCGCCUCCAAGGCUCUCGUGCAAUGACCUUGCGCCUUCCAACCUUUCCGCCUUGUGCGGAAUAUCCUUGAACUUUGAUUCUUUUUAGGAUUCUUUCGGAUCCAUCACUGCCUCUUUUUAUUUUUCUUUCCAUUUUGUGUAUUUUUCAUCUUUUUUCUUGUCUUCCGGAAGUCUGGGCUGGAAUCCUGCAAGCUAAUUGUUUCCUCAUGUGUGUAUUUCUAUCCCUUUUUAUUUUGUCUUUCCCUUUUUUAGUUUCUUCAAGAUGCUUCUCCCCUCCGCCGACGACGAACGGAAUGCGGAAGGAAACGGCAACGUUGUCGAGUCUCUCCCCUCCCUCCCCUCAACACCUUGUAUAUAUCUGUUGUUGAACAACUGCCGUUGCAUAAAUACGGCGCUCUUAAAAUAUCGUUCUUUCAUUAUCUUCUGCUGGGUAUUGUAGGCUUCCCUUUCCGUCAUAAACUGGUUUGUGUGCACCUUAUGCGGACUUUCUCGAAGCGCAGAGAAAGAGAGAGCAGGCUCACACAGCCUCCUUUUUGUAUUUUUCCCGUCUGCAUUUUUACCGGUCACCAAUGUGGGACAGACAAAGUUCAUUGGAAUGCGCACAUCUUUUCUCUUUUAAUGUCCUUCCUUUAUUUACAACCUUUCUCCUACUUAUUCGUCUACUAGGCCACUUAGCAGACACACAUCUCCGCCUGCCUCCAAACAGUUUGGCGUUUUUCGUUUUUAAUCUUAUCACAUCAAUGCGCGCGCGCCCUCUAUCUCUUGGUGGUAGACACUCCUCGAAGUUGGGGCUCUCCAUUCAUCCGCCGUUGGACCAAGCAAACAGUAUCCAGUCGGCUUCGGCCAUGUGUGGGUGUGUUGCUCUACCGACAGUGUGAAUUUUCGGCUUUUAAACCUCGAGA